Carassius carassius (crucian carp) is the source of this 1858-nucleotide long non-coding RNA. RefSeq lists it as uncharacterized. The transcript has 2 exons. The record is from RefSeq and is a predicted model, not a curated record. NCBI's taxonomy places the organism in Eukaryota, Metazoa, Chordata, Actinopteri, Cypriniformes, Cyprinidae.
GCCUUGAUGCUUAAUUUUUAUGCUUAAUAUAAUUCAAUUUAAUGAAAAAGUUAAUUGCAUUAUGAAAAAACUAUUAAUUUAAAUUUGUUAGUUUUGCUUGCAUCUUCUAAAAGAAAUGUUUUAAAUGCAUCUUCUCAAAUUUCUCAUUAAAACAGACUGUUUAGUUCAACUGGGCUGACAUCUCGGAAGAUCUUACAGACUUUUGUAGACUUUCUGGUUUGAGAAGUGAAGUGGAAACACAGGCCAUAAUUAUGAUUCCUUCAACUGUCUGUUUCUGUGUACCUGCCAAAAUGUUUUGGGCGUUCCUUCAUCCGGACUGCAUCAAUGGGGUGAUAACAUUCCUAUCACCAUGAAAAAAAACAACUUCACCAUUUUAUACAGUACCAUAAUCAGAACAUUUAUGUUGAAACUCAUGCACUGAUCAAAUGUCUUUUGGAUUGUGUCAGUUUUUAUUUUAGAGGAAAUUACAGUUUUUAUUCAGUAUUCAGUGCAUCAGCCAAUCAAAUAAAUAAAUCAGACAAAUAGUGAUCAUUUAAGACACACACAUUCAGCAAAUACAGUGGAUGUCUAAAAUAUUCUUUAGUUAACUAACGAUUCUUAGUCUAAUGUUUUAAUGUGAGCCCACAGACUCGUUUAUCCACCCUUGGGUGCAGAUGAAUAGGUAUAUGUGUAACCUGAGGGCGGAUCUAAAGUAUAAAUACAAGCAAGAAAACGGCAUUUCCACACUGGAGAGCAAGACGAGACAAAAGGUAAGACAUUCCUCAUUUAUUAACUGCGACAGAUACUUGUCAAAUGCAUGAUUCAUGUGAGCACUUGAUGGCAACUAACAAAACAGAUUGAUUCAGUUACUGAAUUCGCUCACUGUCCAUUCAGAAAAUUCAUUCGCAAGGAUUUUAUCUUACGAAGCAUCAAAAUAAAUAUAACAUGAGCAUGCAUGCAAAGAGAUUCUUGCUUACAGGUCUUUUUCAUUGUUUAGUGUUACGGACGUGUUGAAUAUCUGAAAAUCUCAACAUGAGUGAUCCAAGUAAGUGAUAUUUCUGCUAUACUGACGUCUUUCUAUUUGUGGCAUCGGAAGACAAUUUAUUAAGUUUAAAAUGUUUACACUUUUUGUGAUAGCAUUUGAAUAAAUGUUACCAGAACAAUUAUUUAUGCAUAUAUUUGUUUUCCAAAUUUCUCCUGCAGAACAAAAGCAGGUAAGAUAUUUCUAAUUCUGCUUAAAUAUACAAAUGUGCAUUUUAAGUAUGCAUAUCAAUUAUACAAAUACAUUAAAGGCCGGUUUUAACAAAUAAUACACUGACCAUAUUGUAUUGCAGGAGGGUGCAGAUUCUGGUUCUGGCUCUGAGGUAUAACCCUCUGUACAUUUCUACACAUCAAUUACAAUUUUACACAAAUAGUUAUAGUUAGUAAUUCUCUGUUGUAUGGUAAUCAUAUUAUCCUAUUUUCUGUCUCACAGAGCUCAGGAGAGGAAGGUGGAAAGGUAAAAACCAUCUCUAAUGGUGAAAAUAAUAAUAAUAAUGCACUUAUUGCAUUACAUAUCCUGCAUUACAUAACCAUUACAUGAUAUACUGCAAGUCUGAUUUUACUUCUACUUAAAGAAGCACGGAAAGGGCAAAGGGAAAGGGAAAGGACAUGGACACGGUAAAGGAGGUGAACAUGGGAAAGGAGGUGAACAUGGGAAAGGAGGUGAACAUGGGAAAGGAGGUGAACAUGGGAAAAAAGGAGGUGACCAACAAAAAGGAAAAAAGUAAUGAGCUCAUAGCCUGAGGCCUGGGCAGUCCAUUUAUGUCCUCAUGAAUUACACAACAAAACUUGUUUCAACUCCAUUUUGCAUCCAAAAAAAUAAAUUAAAUUAAAACAC